CUAUAGGUGUAAAUAUGUCUAUAGGUGUAGAUAUGUCUCUAGGUGUAGAUAUGUCUAUAGGUGUAGAUAUGUCUCUAGGUAUAGAUAUGUCUAUAGGUGUAGAUAUGUCUCUAGGUGUAGAUAUGUCUCUAGGUGUAGAUAUGUCUCUAGGUGUAGAUAGUAUGUCUAUAGGUGUAGAUAUGUCUCUAGGUGUAGAUAGUAUGUCUAUAUGUUGUGUGUAAUCAGAUGGUUGAGAGAGUGCAUCUGUAAUGUAAGUUACUACAGAGUGGACAUUAUUUUGUCUGCAAAACAGGAUUUAAAUGUUUCAAAAUAAAUCAAAUCAAAUUAGA
Molecule: non-coding RNA, 329 nt
Organism: Salvelinus sp. IW2-2015
Lineage: Eukaryota; Metazoa; Chordata; Actinopteri; Salmoniformes; Salmonidae
Source: RefSeq, a predicted model, not a curated record